This 873-nucleotide long non-coding RNA is filed under the name Struthio camelus australis. RNAcentral describes it as "lncRNA (ENSSCUG00000005753.1)". The record is from RNAcentral. Lineage: Eukaryota; Metazoa; Chordata; Aves; Struthioniformes; Struthionidae.
CCUUGUUCACCAAGUCCUCUCCUCCUCUGGCAUUCCCAUUCGAUGAAACAACUCCAAAGAGAAAGAGUUUUCUGCCCUCGCCAGCUCGGCAGGGAAUCGGCUAAAACGAGGCGUCGCGGAGGGGCGAAGCGGCGGUCUGUGUGACUGUUGCCCGAGCGGCUGUGCGAGAUACCAAAGCAGCGAGUGAAGUCCUCCGUCCUCCGUCAGACGUAAGGGCACGUGUACAUUUAACCGGUCCAGGAGGGCAUCCGUUACAAAGCUCCGCAUUCGGACAGUAGGACUGGAUGCCAUAAAGGGACGUGUGACUUGUGAAUUAAGAGACCUGGUAACUUGUAGAAUGAUGGUUUAAAAUGACUUUAUUUUAUGGCUAGUUUCAGCCAGCUGAGUGAUGUUGCAUGUAUUGGUUGUAUUUAUAACUUAAUAGCUUUUCUCAAUUUUAUUAUACUUUUUAUGAUACUUGUGGCUUUAUGGUACUUCAUAAUUUUUCUCAGAUUCAUUAAAUCCAGCUGAGGGUGGAGCCGAUGAUGAGAGCAGGCAGCGCAUUCCCAGCGUCGCCCUGUAGUCCGUAACCUGCUCCAAGAUGCAAAGUGCAGGAGCGGAGCAGAGGGACCAGCGAAACGGGCUCAGUCUGCUCCUCUGGGGGAGACGUGGUGACACCCGUAGGCGAGGAAAAUCAACUCUCAUGCAGUUAAGUCUACUAGAAAUCACCCUGGAAAUCAGCAUCUCGUUCAGCGGCCUUUGGUACAAAGGCAACAAAACUGAAAGGCUGCCUGACUCCAGUCCCAUUUUGGCUGUUUUUUUGUCACAAGGUAACUCUACCGACUUCUGUGGAAUUUCUCCUGAUUUAUACCUCAGUAAGUGAGAGAGGAAUCA